Molecule: ribosomal RNA, 440 nt
Filed under: uncultured bacterium
Lineage: Bacteria
Description: partial 16S ribosomal RNA
Rfam family: Bacterial small subunit ribosomal RNA
Source: RNAcentral
CCUACGGGUGGCAGCAGUAAGGAAUAUUGCUCAAUGGGGGAGAGCCUGAAGCAGCAACGCCGCGUGAAGGAUGACGGUUUUAGGGUUGUAAACUCCUUUUUUUAGAGAAGAUAAUGACGGUAUCUCACGAAUAAGCACCGGCUAACUCCAUGCCAGCAGCCGCGGUCAUACGGAGGGUGCAAGAGUUACUCGGAAUCACUGGGCGUAAAGCGUGCGCAGGCGGGCUUGUAAGUCAGAUGUGAAAUCCUGUAGCUUAACUACAGAACUGCAUUUGAAACUAGGAGUCUAGAGUGUGGGAGAGGUAGGUGGAAUUCUUGGUGUAGCGGUAAAAUCCGUAGAUAUCAAGAGGAAUACUCAUUGCGAAGGCGACCUACUGGAACACUACUGACGCUCAUGCACGAAAGCGUGGGUAGCAAACAGGAUUAGAUACCCGAGUAGUC